This 467-nucleotide ribosomal RNA is filed under the name uncultured bacterium. Its description in RNAcentral is "partial 16S ribosomal RNA". It matches the Rfam family "Bacterial small subunit ribosomal RNA", at positions 28 to 507 of the family's 1533-position model. The record is from RNAcentral.
GACGAACGCUGGCGGCGUGCUUAACACAUGCAAGUCGAACGGAAAGGCCUCUUUCGGGGGGUACUCGAGUGGCGAACGGGUGAGUAACACGUGAGUAACCUGCCCUUGACUUUGGGAUAACUUCAGGAAACUGGGGCUAAUACCGGAUAGGAGCUCCUGCUGCAUGGUGGGGGGUGGAAAGUUUCGGCGGUUGGGGGUGGACUCGCGGCUUAUCUGCUUGUUGGUGGGGUAGUGGCUUACCAAGGCUUUGACGGGUAGCCGGCCUGAGAGGGUGGACGGCCACAUUGGGGCUGGGAUACGGCCCAGACUCCUACGGGGGGCAGCAGUGGGGAAUAUUGCACAAUGGGUGGAAGCCUGAUGCAGCAACGCCGUGGGGGGGAUGACGGCCUUCGGGUUGUAAACCGCUUUCGCUCAUGACGAAGCUUUGUGUGACGGUAGUGGGUAAAGAAGCACCGGCUAACUACGUG